CUUUGUCUGAAUAUGAAGGACCCGAAGGACCACUGAGAUUGGAGACAGAACAAAGAGCCACAGCUACUGCUGAGAACUCAAAAACUUCUUCCUUUCCGGUGAACACGUCUAGACUUGGGCUGGGGAUGGGAUGAAGAUCUCUAACACCUUCCUGGAAAUCAAGAAGUGCAAAUAGGCCACAGGAUUCUGCUGCAAAUUCUAACAGGAGGAGGCAAUGGCAGCCCUUACUAAAACCGCAGAACUACAGGAAGAGGAUCCCUGAGUGGGAUUCCUGUGUGAAAGGCAUUUUCACCUUUUUGUGUAUCUUCAGAAUCUUAACUUUCAUGAGAGAAGAAUAGAAAUGCAACAAUGGAACAAUCCACUGUAUACACGUAGCUGACAAUUUAAUAAACUUGAAGGAAAUGCUA
Molecule: long non-coding RNA, 407 nt
Filed under: Homo sapiens (human)
Lineage: Eukaryota; Metazoa; Chordata; Mammalia; Primates; Hominidae
Description: HSALNT0308079
Source: RNAcentral